Molecule: small RNA, 148 nt
Filed under: Pongo abelii (Sumatran orangutan)
Lineage: Eukaryota; Metazoa; Chordata; Mammalia; Primates; Hominidae
Description: Metazoan signal recognition particle RNA (ENSPPYG00000038162.1)
Source: Rfam by way of RNAcentral
GCUGGGCAUGGUGGUGCGUGCCUGUAAUCCCAGCUACUUGGGAGGCUGAGGCAGAAGAAUAGCUUGAACCCAGGAGGUGGAGGUUGCAGUGAACCGAGAUCACGUCACUGCACUCCAGCCUGGGGGACAAAGUGAGAUUCUGUCUCAA